This 489-nucleotide ribosomal RNA is filed under the name uncultured bacterium. RNAcentral's name for it is "partial 16S ribosomal RNA". It matches the Rfam family "Bacterial small subunit ribosomal RNA", at positions 28 to 507 of the family's 1533-position model. The record is from RNAcentral.
GAUGAACGCUAGCUACAGGCUUAACACAUGCAAGUCGAGGGGCAGCAUGAACUUAGCUUGCUAAGUUUGAUGGCGACCGGCGCACGGGUGAGUAACACGUAUCCAACCUGCCGAUGACUCGGGGAUAGCCUUUCGAAAGAAAGAUUAAUACCCGAUGGCAUAGUUCUUCCGCCUGGUAGAACUAUUAAAGAAUUUCGGUCAUCGAUGGGGAUGCGUUCCAUUAGGUUGUUGGCGGGGUAACGGCCCACCAAGCCUUCGAUGGAUAGGGGUUCUGAGAGGAAGGUCCCCCACAUUGGAACUGAGACACGGUCCAAACUCCUACGGGAGGCAGCAGUGAGGAAUAUUGGUCAAUGGACGAGAGUCUGAACCAGCCAAGUAGCGUGAAGGAUGACUGCCCUAUGGGUGGUAAACUUCUUUUAUACGGGAAUAAAGUGAGGCACGUGUGCCUUUUUGUAUGUACCGUAUGAAUAAGGAUCGGCUAACUCCGUG